CCUGGCUGGCUGGUGGUGCGGAGCCCACGGGUGGGGCCGGGCGCUACCGAAAGGCUGGGCCUGAGUCCCCCGCUGCCCUCUGUUUGGAGGACUGAGGGUUAUCCUGCUAUCACCGCCUCCGAGGUACCGGCUGGACUAGGGGCUGGUGGGGUCUGCACCUGUCAGUAGGGACCGGACGCUGCCCUCCGCAGAGGGUGGCUGUUGUAACUUACCUCUCCCAGACGUUUCCUCUUUCUGCUUCAAAACUGGCCUGUCACCCUCACAUGCGGAGCCACUGAACGGAUUGUCGAGAAUAUUCACCUUAACAAGGCCCUUUCUCUUCCUAAAGAUGCUCACGACGUUCUUUAGCAAAUUCAACCCAACCUCGCGUACAAAAUGUCACUUCCCUGCCUGAAGUCAUAAUAUGGUCUAAGACCAUUUUAUUAUUUGUAAGGCUAAUUUAGAAAAUCUUUAGAAGUUAAUUUAUUAUUUUAAUUCCUGAAGGGACGGUAGUUUUGUGACUAGCCAGUGGGCCAGAUUUGGAGUCAGCCUAAUUCCAAAUCUGAGCUGUGCCUCUUAUUACAUCUAUACCCUUGUGCAGUUUACUUGAUUUGAGCUUUUGUUUCUUAGCUGUGAAACAGACAUUCAUAUCUAAGUUAUUAUCAAGAUUUUUAAGGGCUUACAUUUUAUUCAUUCAUUCAUUUAUUUAUAUUCUCCAGUUAAUAUACAGUGUAGUCUUGGCUUCAGGAGUAAAACCCAGUGAUUCAUUUCUUGAGAAAGUGCUUAGUAGGAAUUCACAGUAACCAUUUAUAAUUCUGAUUUUCCAAAUUUAAGACUUACUCAGUUCCUCAGACCUCUCCUCUUAAUUCUGCUCUAAAUUUUCCUAGGAAACCUUUUAGACUUCUGGAUUUUAGGGUUUUCCUCUUACACAGGUGUUAGUGAAUCUUCAAGCAACAUGUAGGGAAUUAAGCAGCAAAAUCAGUAACUUCCGGAGGUUUGAAUAAUUGGUGAAAAGUUAUCUCCCCAUUAUCCACUGCUCCAACUUGCCUAGCCCAGACUAACUGUAUGUCUAAAAUAUUUUAAUUGAGGGGUGCUUGGGUGGCUCAGUUGAUUAAGCAUCCAACUUCAGCUCAGGUCAUGAUUUCAGGGUUCGUGAGUUUGAACACACCCCCCCCCCCCACCUCCCUGGGCUCUGUAGUGACAGCUCAAAGCCUGAAGCCUGCUUCAGAUUGUGUCUCCCUCUCUCUCUGCCCCUCUGUCCAACCCCCUCCUCAAAAAAAUAAUAAACACUAAAAAAAAAAAAUAAAAUAUUUUAAUUGUAGGCUUAGUACAAGAGUUUUGAGAUCUAACAGCAUAGUCUGUGCCCCCUUCUCUACUGUGAGAUAUAUAUGCAUUCGGAGAUCUUUUAAAUUCUAAGAUAAAAUUUGACUCUUGUAAAAACUCUCUGUACAAAUGAUUUAUUCUGUAAAAGUUUGGAAACUACUUUCUCCCUUCAUAUGAGCUACUUUGCAUAUGCCAAAAUUCGAUCUCCAGUAAUCUUCAUUUGUCUUAUUUUAAUAAAUUAAAAAUAACUUUGGCAA
Molecule: long non-coding RNA, 1559 nt
Organism: Neofelis nebulosa (Clouded leopard)
Lineage: Eukaryota; Metazoa; Chordata; Mammalia; Carnivora; Felidae
Exons: 2
Source: RefSeq, a predicted model, not a curated record